CAGUUCGGAUUGAAGGCUGAAAUUCGCCUUCAUGAAGCCGGAAUUGCUAGUAAUGGCAGGUCAGCAUACUGCCGUGAAUACGUUCCCGGGCCUUGUACACACCGCCCGUCACACCAUGAGAGUUGGGAAUACCCGAAGCCUGUGAGUUAACAGUAGAGGCAGCAGUCGAAGGUAGAAUCAAUGAUUGGGGUGAAGUCGUAACAAGGUAAC
This 210-nucleotide ribosomal RNA is filed under the name uncultured bacterium. RNAcentral describes it as "partial 16S ribosomal RNA". It matches the Rfam family "Bacterial small subunit ribosomal RNA", at positions 1289 to 1500 of the family's 1533-position model. The record is from RNAcentral.